CUACGGGUUGCUCCAGUCGAGAAUCUUUCGCAAUGGGGGAAACCCUGACGAAGCGACGCCGCGUGCAGGAUGAAGGCCUUCGGGUUGUAAACUGCUGUCAGCAGGGAAGAAAAGGCUGUUUACGAAUAGUAAACAGUUUUGACGGUACCUGCAGAGGAAGCCACGGCUAACUCUGUGCCAGCAGCCGCGGUAAUACAGAGGUGGCAAGCGUUGUUCGGAUUUAUUGGGCGUAAAGGGUCCGUAGGCGGUUUGAAAAGUCAGGUGUGAAAUCCUACAGCUUAACUGUAGAACUGCACUUGAAACUUUCAGACUAGAGUAUGAGAGGGGUAAAGAGAAUUCCCGGUGUAAGGGUGAAAUCUGUAGAGAUCGGGAGGAAUACCAGUCGCGAAGGCGCUUCACUGGCUCAUUACUGACGCUGAGGGACGAAAGCUAGGGUAGCAAACGGGAUUAGAUACCCUGGUAGUC
Molecule: ribosomal RNA, 465 nt
Filed under: uncultured bacterium
Lineage: Bacteria
Description: partial 16S ribosomal RNA
Rfam family: Bacterial small subunit ribosomal RNA
Source: RNAcentral